RNAcentral lists this long non-coding RNA (878 nucleotides) under Lynx canadensis (Canada lynx). RNAcentral's name for it is "lncRNA (ENSLCNG00005009476.1)". The record is from RNAcentral. Lineage: Eukaryota; Metazoa; Chordata; Mammalia; Carnivora; Felidae.
GUCCGGACCAGGAAAAACAUUGCACAAAUGGGCGGACGUUGUGUUCCACACUGUGCAAGAUUCUUUGGAGGGUUUCAGUGGAGGAGUGAUAUACUUUGGAGAAAAUACCAGUCUGGCAGCACAGGGAGAAUGGGCGGAGGGAGAGGGAGAAACCCAGACAAGAAGCUGCCGUGGUGAUCUGGGCACUGAUGAUGGCGGCUGGACCUGCCAUACAAUGGGACAUUCGAGAAACAUUUCGAGGUUGAGUGGAGAAGCAAAUGGACUCAAGAAUCCAAGAGUGGGGGCUCCAGCCUAGACAGCACUCCGUCCAUCUGGGAAAUGUGUGCCUCGGGGCAAAAGAUGAGGACAGUUAUUGCAAAGACAAGGGCCGACCCUCACGUUGCAGUGACGAUAGGCUCUGCCACUCUCCGGCUCUGGUCCAAACCAGAGCAAACGUGACAGAGAGGAGUCCACAGGGAACAAGAAGCCACGAGAUUCAGCGCUAUGGAAACCACUCUGGAUGUUUUCAAGAACUACCUCUGCACCUCUGAUGGAGAUGCCUACAGCCAGUAUCACACUUGGCCUUGGAUUAUAAUUCUUUGUACACAACCCACCCCACCCAAUGACGCUCCAAGGCAGGAUCUACUCCAUCUUUGAACUGGCUUCAAACCUGCCUUUAUAGCUAGGGGUUUCUCAGGGAACAUUUGUCAACGGAAAGCACAUUCUUCCAAAAUAUUUAAAUCCUUCUAAAUACUACUCAUAAUCUGAAUCAUAAAAUGUCAUUUGUAUUUCGAUUUGUAUCUUCCAAGGGAAUGAGGCUAUUGAGGACCAACUGAACUGUAGUUUCCUUUUGAUUUCGGCUCAGGUCAUGAUCUCACGGUUCAUGAGUUCAAGCCCCA